GUCAACGUCCAUACCAUGUUGAAGACACCGGUUCUCGUCCGAUCACCGAAGUUAAGCAACAUCGGGCGCGGUCAGUACUUGGAUGGGUGACCGCCUGGGAACACCGCGUGACGUUGACUUUU
This 122-nucleotide ribosomal RNA is filed under the name Spodoptera frugiperda (fall armyworm). The record is from RNAcentral. Lineage: Eukaryota; Metazoa; Arthropoda; Insecta; Lepidoptera; Noctuidae.